UAGAGCAACUAUUUAUACUAAAAAAACGAAAAACCUAAUCAAACUAGGAAAACGAGAAAAUUACCAAAAAAAAAGGAAAAACCUAAUCAAACUAGGAAAACGAGAAAAUUACCAAAAAUAAAAAUAAAAUAACUCCUAAACCUAAUAGAAUACCGAAAGUUGGAAACAACCCAACUUGCGGAAUUCAAAUCCUAAUCAAACUAGAAUUCCGACUCCGCCACCUCUGCAUCAAUCCCUUCUUC
Molecule: long non-coding RNA, 242 nt
Filed under: Erythranthe guttata (spotted monkey flower)
Lineage: Eukaryota; Viridiplantae; Streptophyta; Magnoliopsida; Lamiales; Phrymaceae
Description: long non-coding RNA (EGUT_LNC002528)
Source: RNAcentral